Long non-coding RNA from Magnolia sinica, 724 nucleotides. RefSeq lists it as uncharacterized. NCBI's taxonomy places the organism in Eukaryota, Viridiplantae, Streptophyta, Magnoliopsida, Magnoliales, Magnoliaceae. The record is from RefSeq and is a predicted model, not a curated record. The transcript has 3 exons.
GAGUACUUUUGAGCUCUUUUGGCUCAUCGUAUUACAAGGGAUGUUUGUUUAUCUUACAUGGACAGUUGCAAAUGCAUCCCUUAUCUACAUAUUUCAGUGAUAAAUGAUCUUUAACUUCUGGUGACUUUCGAGAAGUGGUAUUCUAAAAGACAAUCCUGAGAAUUGUAGGUUGAUCAUGGGUUUUGAAAGACUUGCUCAAUGUCAAUUUAGAUGUAACUGUAUAAUAUAGGUCUUGUCGCAAUUCCAAUGCAAAGUAUGACUAUUUUCCUUUGUUUCCUAAAUACAACAGUUAAACUCACAUUCAUUUAAUCUUGCUAGUUUAGGUUGCUGACCAUUCCACAAAAGAGGUCAAAGGACAAACUCCUUCGAGGGUAGUAAGAAGGGUGGGAGCUCACCACCUACAAUUUCAUUGGUGAAAGAAACUGGCUAUAUAAUCAUUUGGGAAAUCAACUUUACUUGGAAGAUCUGAACCGUCCAAUCAAGUGCAUGAGAGUAGAAACCGCAGAAAUAGUUGUACCUCAGAUUAGCUGCGGUUGUGCUCACCUACUCGAGAUGUGUCUCGCAGGGGUUGUUCUCGCCUAUUAAAGUUGGAGGGUAAGUACCUUGUUUCCAAUUUCCUCUCCGGUUUUUGGUAAUCUUUAGUUUCUGUGCUGUAUAGUGGUGUAUACAAUAGGUAUGGGCCGAUUCUUUUUAUAGAGCCCACUUGAAUGGGUGUACAACUAAU